UACGUAGGGUGCGAGCGUUGUCCGGAAUUAUUGGGCGUAAAGAGCUUGUAGGCGGUUUGUCGCGUCUGCCGUGAAAUUUCGAGGCUCAACCUCGAACUUGCGGUGGGUACGGGCAGACUAGAGUGUGGUAGGGGAGACUGGAAUUCCUGGUGUAGCGGUGAAAUGCGCAGAUAUCAGGAGGAACACCGAUGGCGAAGGCAGGUCUCUGGGCAUUAACUGACGCUGAGGCGACGAAGCUGGGGAGCAACAGGAUUAGAACC
Molecule: ribosomal RNA, 260 nt
Filed under: uncultured bacterium
Lineage: Bacteria
Description: partial 16S ribosomal RNA
Rfam family: Bacterial small subunit ribosomal RNA
Source: RNAcentral